This 808-nucleotide long non-coding RNA is filed under the name Homo sapiens (human). RNAcentral describes it as "non-protein coding lnc-AGAP9-39:2". Lineage: Eukaryota; Metazoa; Chordata; Mammalia; Primates; Hominidae. The record is from RNAcentral.
GGACCUAAGGAGUCGCAGUUGUGAACAGGUUUGGUGCCGCGGGCUGGGGUAGGCGGCGGUUGGGUCCGUGGCUCUGGGGCACUGGGAAGAUCGCGAGUCGUGCGCAUGGGAAGGUCCUCCCCCGGUCCUCCGGGUCAUCUUUGCUCCCGAGGAGCGGCAUAUUUCGCAUCUGCCUGAGGUGUGCCCGGGGGUCGUUGGGAGAGUGACGGGAUGAAUCCCUGCAGAGAGCCCGGACUGGGAGGGAAGGUGUCGGGGAGACGUCGUUUCCUGGCGACGUGGUCCCGGCAGGCGACUUAGACCUGAGCCGAAUCUGUUGACCCCAAAUUGUGCUUUUCCCACCAAGAAGAAAAGGGAGAGAAACAGUACAAGUUCGGCAGUAAAAUAUAGUAGAGAAGCAAUAUAACCUCUGAAAUCACACAGCUAUUCAGUUUCAAAGCGUUCCUAGUGCCCAGCUCUCCUAACUCCCGGCCAGUGUUCCUUGACAUAUGGUGAUAUAUAAAGACUUUCUGUUUCCGCUCGUGUGUGUGUCUGUGAGAAGCCUCUGACUCACUUCUGUGCUCCAGUAGCACCCUCUGCAGCCUUGCAAUGUAGCCCUUAUUGCAUGGCACGGAAGAUACUAGUUUGGAUUUCCUCUGCCAAUCAGACCAUAGCUAUAUCCAUUUUCUGGCACAGUGGCUAGCACAUCAUAGACAGACACAAACAUUUAUUAAACGGAAUGAAUACAGGACCUUAACUGAAUGAAAUGGUACCCUGCCCCGCUUUUUCUCAAUCAAGCUGUCAGAUUUUAUGCAGCCCGAUAUUCCAAAAA